Long non-coding RNA from Hypomesus transpacificus, 828 nucleotides. RefSeq lists it as uncharacterized. NCBI's taxonomy places the organism in Eukaryota, Metazoa, Chordata, Actinopteri, Osmeriformes, Osmeridae. The record is from RefSeq and is a predicted model, not a curated record. The transcript has 4 exons.
GCAAAUGGGACAUGAACACAAACCUGAACAUUCCAUGACUCAUUUUCUGAUAAAGUGUCAACAGGCACAUAAAACAGUAUAUAUAGUUGAAAGACAGAGACUACAGAAAACAUUUCACUCAUCCAAGAAGAACACAGUCAGUCCUGAAUAGCAAGUGAGAUGAAAGCUGUAUAUUCGGCUCUCCUCCUCCUCCUCCUGGCAGUUAGCUACGGAGAGAGCUUGAAGUGCAAUCGAUGUGUCCCAGGUUCUCCAGGCUCACGCUGCACCAACACCAUAGAGACCUGCCCAUCUGGCUUUGACGUGUGUGGCUCGGUUAUUUUCAAGCCUCCACUCCCUAUCUCGUAUUUCAAGAGAUGCAUGAAGAAAUCAGAUUGUACAAUUCUGGGACUCAAUUCCAGCAUUGAUGUCAGAUGCUGCUCUUUUGAUCGCUGCAACUGAUAAAUCUCAAUGAAAAACUGAUAUUUAAUCAAUUAUUUUCAAUAAUCGGUGACUGAGGAACGUUUCAGAUUAUCUGACUGCAUUACAUGUAUGAAUUACACCUAUUGUAAUUGUCCUAGUUCAUAGAAUUCUAGUCUCUCUUUGUGUUAACGCUUACUACACUACAAAAUUGGCAUAAAUCAAUUCAGUGGUUUCACCAAAUAAAUCCAGCAGUUGGCUGGAGCAGGAUUGCUGGAACAUAUGUGGCUGGAAAGUAGAGGGCCCUCUGUGUCAUACCUGUCAUUAUGCCACAUCACAUACAGUAUGUAACACAGACUAAUAUUGCUGUCCUUGAAAACUAUGAUGACACUUUCCGUCCACUAGAUGUCAAUAAAACUCUUUCAAAUGUAA